This 318-nucleotide long non-coding RNA is filed under the name Hordeum vulgare. RNAcentral's name for it is "long non-coding RNA (HVUL_LNC016354)". The record is from RNAcentral. Lineage: Eukaryota; Viridiplantae; Streptophyta; Magnoliopsida; Poales; Poaceae.
GGUGAAAAUAUAUAGAAAGCCUCUGAUUGUUAUGUGAGGACUCAAUUUGAGUGAUAGAAAGCCUCUGAUUCCUAUGUGAGGACUCAAUUUGAGUGAUAUUGCGUCCAACACAGGCGCUAAAUAAGCGGCGCGCUGAAAAAACUGGCCAUAGUGUGCGCGCAAAUGAAACCAGCGCUCCAGCAGCCGCGCGCGGUAAAAAGGCGCCACCGUGCCUAGAAAAACUACAUCGCACACGACUUACUUGGUGCUCCCGCUCCAGCAUGCUGGACAGGAGAAUCUCGUGUGCGAACCAACGCCUGAUCUGAAACCUCCUCACAC